UGGAUUCAUGCACUUUAUGCUCAUCCAAUCCAAGAGUGCAUGAAUAAGAUAAAUUCAACAUGGAAUAGACAAAGAGAUACCUUGCUAAUUGAUAACUUCCUCUAAUAUUUAGAUGCUCCGAUUCCGAAACGGCAUGCCAUCUAUCAAAAAAUAGCUUGUAUCCAUUACAUUACAUGUCAGUCAGUAAAAACUAAAAAGACGCUCUAAUAUUAUAUACAGUAGAUGGCAUUGGGUAAGCUAGUAGAUUGUUUUGUUCUAACCUUGUCGUUGAUUAUGAUCCAACAAACUUUCCUUGUGUUGUAAGUUGACACAUCUUUCUUUGAAUAGCUUGUCGAUGUCUGAAUUCAAAAUAGCAGUAAGAAAAUGCUGAGAAUGCCAUGCACUUUGGAUUAACCUAGAACAAUCUUGACCUCAGAUUAACAACCAUAAGCAACACUCCAAAGCACAAUACGUUCAAAGACAAAAUUGCAUGUGAAAGCAAGUGCAGUUUGGAUACAAAGGUAACGAGCACUCCCAAGUCACCAUUGCAGUUUCAGGACAAGGAUAUAUACUAAGGAUGAAAUUCACCGUUCCAUUUUCCUCCGGAACGUGCAUCGAUUCCUUCACCUGCAUUGCAACAUUUACUCAGGCCAAUAAAGUUGAAUCGUCAAGAUUACAAGUACUUUACCCUCGUUGUUGGAUCUUGGGGUAUAUAACAAUCUGUGGUUCUGGACAUGGCCUCUUCCUUCCGGCAGCGGUGGCCCAGUCUCCCUCUCCCGGUGCCGUCCAACCUGCCGGCUAGGGUCCGCUGGCAAGCCGUGCGUCAUGGGGCGGCGGCGGCGGCCUGCGAAUGCGUCCCGUGCGCGUGGGGUGCCGCGGUCAGUUCUCUGGGCUGGUGCGAUUUGGAUGUGCGAC
RNAcentral lists this long non-coding RNA (894 nucleotides) under Hordeum vulgare. Its description in RNAcentral is "long non-coding RNA (HVUL_LNC002576)". The record is from RNAcentral. Lineage: Eukaryota; Viridiplantae; Streptophyta; Magnoliopsida; Poales; Poaceae.